UAUUCUGCCCCACGGGGAAGGAUGAGAAGCUUCGACUAAGGUUCGACUCGAGCGAAGCGAGAGAACGUUGCCGCAGGCAACGGCCCGAAGGGCGAGGAGCGAUAGCGACG
RNAcentral lists this small RNA (110 nucleotides) under Klebsiella pneumoniae. RNAcentral's name for it is "partial RtT sRNA". It matches the Rfam family "RtT RNA", at positions 1 to 108 of the family's 130-position model. From Rfam's summary of the family: This family represents a bacterial cis-regulatory element known as RtT RNA. Lineage: Bacteria; Pseudomonadati; Pseudomonadota; Gammaproteobacteria; Enterobacterales; Enterobacteriaceae. The record is from RNAcentral. RNAcentral also lists the same sequence under 1 other name.